Pangasianodon hypophthalmus (striped catfish) is the source of this 1386-nucleotide long non-coding RNA. RefSeq lists it as uncharacterized. The transcript has 3 exons. The record is from RefSeq and is a predicted model, not a curated record. Lineage: Eukaryota; Metazoa; Chordata; Actinopteri; Siluriformes; Pangasiidae.
UGUGCCCCUUCCUAAAGAGCCAGAACAAUCACGUUCCACACACACUGAGAGAACGGUUUCAACUACAGGUGUGUUUUAUGUCAGGUUUUUUAUGUUCACCUAAAUUUACAUUGUGCAUCAUAACUGUUUAGCAUUUAAAAUUACAAUUAAUAUUUAUAUAAUCCCUCACCUCUUACACAGAUAAUUGCUAAUAGAGGAAUGGUUCUCUGUUCAGGAGACAGCAGCAUCACAGACAGCUCUCCAGCGUGCAGGACACUUAGUUUUGAGGAAUGUGGCAAAGAUGGUAAGGGUGUAUUGCACUUGACUGGAAUAAUGAAAGCAUUAUGUUGUGUUGAAUCUGUUCUAAUUUUAUAAUGGAUUGUUUAUCCAUCUUUUUAGAAAAUCUCUCAUCUUCAGAGAUCACUUCACAUAGUGUCCCACGCACAGCUGAGGCAUCACAUGAGCCAUUCUCCUCUCCCCUUGGUUCUUCAGUGUGCAGCCCACCGCCUCUGCAACAGACAGGUCAAAUCACAGUCAGGCACAUCAGCCCUUCCUAAGAUGCCCUCCUCCACAACCUCCUGGCUACGAUCAUGAUGUCCGCCAGUGGAAGUGUUCCCAUCCGCAGAGGAUCUGGAUGAAGACAGAGCUGGAAUCCAUGAGUCUAUGGCUAGGGUCACCUCCUGUAAGAUAUAUCUUUUGCUUUUAUCUUUCACUUGUGGUGACUGUUUAACUAAUGUAGAUAUAUUUUUUUACUUUAUUUUACAGUGUAAUUAGGUUUAUAUUAAUAUGUGUGUAUAUAUAAUGUAUAUAUGAGCAGACUUGUGUGUCUAUGCGUUUCUUCACUAUUAUUGCUUUUGGUUUUCACUGCUCUACUGAUGUGUUUAAAAUGCACAUAAUAAUAAUAAUAAUAAUAAUAAAAAAGGUAAACACUAAUUGCUUGGUGUAGUGUGGCUCUGUUUGCAGGAUUCAUUAUUUACUCUGUUAUAUUGCACACAUUUAACUGGUAUGUUAACUUAAGAGUCCCAUCGCUCAAUAAACCAUAUGCAUUCAACAGUGGAAUUCAUUAUAUUAGAGUAAAACCUUAUUUAAAAUUCUCAUUUACAUUGCAGAUAUAACAUAAUAGAUGUAUACUAUUAUUACUUUAGUAAAAAUAAAAAUGUUUUAUUUCAAUUGUUGACAUUUUGUAAAAAUGAAGAAGUAAUAAGAGUAUAAAACUGUUGUGAUAUUUGUAAUGGGUCAAUGUUGACGUAGUGGUCAGAGAUUUAUUCUAUGUUGCACAUUUGAUGAAUAAAUAUUUGAACUCUAUUUGCAUGUCAACAUUAAUCAAUUAUUAACAAUACUUUGGCCAUCAAACACAGAAAACAUUUUAAACCACACUGCAAUACUAAUGCAUUGUUAUUAUUUCAG